UAACUAAAAAGGCUAUUUCAAUAAGACAAUGACCACGACCAAUAUGUCCCAAAUCCCAGAUACAGAUUUGGAUCUACACAUCCCUCCAAAGUCACCAGACAUCACCACUCUAGCUAACUCGGAGGGAGAAAUAUACAAAACACCCUCAUUCAAAGAAAAACUUCUAGCCCAUGAAUCAAUGGCAGACCCCAAUCAAAUGCAACUUGAUACUCCCAUAUCCCACUUGCAGCACGAAAUCCUACCUCCGGCAAUGGACACUAUGGGCAUCAUAGACCCAACCAAAUACAUCAUCAAACAUAUCAAAGAAAUCAAUCUCACUGAAGAGGAUCGAAAUCAAAUGUACACCCUAUGAAAAUACUCUCUUAUCAAUGAAUUUACAAAGUCUUAAAAAAGAUGAACAAAUUUACAAAUAGAACUAUUAAUAACGAAUUAGAUAUUAUUCUCACUUUACAAUGAGAAAGAAACACUUAUAAAUUUAUAAUCACAAGAUGGAAUAAACAAUCAAAGUAGAACAAUAUAUCUACUUUAUGCCAAACGGAUAAGAAUAUGAAUAAAAAUGGUAGUAGAAAAUAUUACAAAAAUGACUUAUUGCUUCUAAUAUUUCUCAUUUCAAAGCUACACUUUCAUUUUUAAAAAAUGCUACACUUUGGCUAUUGUGCCUAGAUUAAUGUCUUUUUAGUUUCUUCCCAAUUGACUAAUUAAAUAUACUGUCUGAAUUUCUUGGAACAAACUUUACAAUUCAUGUCAAACAUUAAGAUACGAUGAUAGAGCUUUCAUUCUAUUUUUCUAGCAAGAUCACUGCCAGUCUUUUUAUGAUCUCUGUAAGAUUUAUUAUGAAUGAAAAUUUAAAAAAUGAGAAUUUUGAGAAAAGAAAUUAGAGUGUUGGAAAGACACGUAUUUAUGUCACUCAUUUGAAGGAACUUAUGAGUAAUGAACGUUAGAAGAAAGUAGAAUUUAGACAAAGAAAUAAGAAAUAUAAAAACUGAAAAGUGUUAAACAUAAAUGCAUAAUAAAUCUAUUCCUUAGGAAAUGUAAGAUAGACGCUUCGUUAGCUUCCAACUAAGUAACUUGCAAAGAGUAGCAUUUUAGUACUCAUGUGUACAAUAAAGCAAGAUUUUUCAUUUGCCAUAACAACAAAGCUAAUAAGCAAAAACGAAGAGAAUAUUGGUUAAGAAUUUGUUAACUAAAGAUGAAGUAGGAGCAAAGGAGAAAAAUUAUGCAUUCAGCUUAGGCUAAGCAUUAAACCACCCAGGUAGUAUAUAAAGCAAUUUGAAUUGUAUCUUCUACAUUCUUAUGUACUGAUCUUUUGCGGUAGAAUUGAGAUGAAAAGUAUCCAAUAAAAGAAGUUAGCAUCUUCCAUAUCCCAUACAAACGACAAACUUGUAUAUUUUAAAAUAAAAAAAUGAAACAAAUAUUUUCCCACUCCAAAAUCAAGUUCCAAAAAUAAGAUAUUCUACUAUGAAUUGAAUUGACCCACAUAAAUUAAUCAAUUUAUUCAAUUUUUACUCUAUUAUACUCGUAUAUUCUAUAAAUUAUCAUCAAAAUAUUAAAUCACUUGUUCAAUAACCACAUCUUCAAAUCUUCGAGUAAAAUUCUCUUUUUUCCUUUACAUUAGAUCAUUAAAUAAUUUAAUCAUAAUGUCAAAGAGAAAACUGAAUUAUAAAUUCAAGGUUUUAUGAAAACAAAGAUGUUACAAACUUGAAAUAAAAAAAUACAAACAAAAGGAAUAUAUUUGCUUAAUUACCUUGAGAUUUGCUGAGUGAGAGGAUUAAACUUAUUAUGUUAUCGACAAUAAAAAGUGAAGAUAAAAAAACCAUUGCAUAAAUCUAUCUUAACUCGAUACUUUUAGAAGAAAAUUACAACUCAAUGCUUCAACUUAUAUAAGGCAUAAUCCAACAAUGACAAAAUCAAAGACCGUUAAACAUUUUGGAACACGGUUAUUACUUCGAUCUUGGCCUUAUCUUUCAGCACUUCCUUUGAUACAUUACUCUUAAAAAUUACACUUGUAUGAAAUAUUCUCACCAGUUGAUGAAGUGCAUUUGGCUGACUGGCACCGAAGGCCAUCUUUAAAAUAUGUGUGCACUAUUUUCACAUCCAUCUUUACCCUAUUUCAGUAAGAUCCAUAUCUCUUUGCCUUACGUAGAAUUUACCGGUCUCUCCAAUUCUGCAAACGUCUCGGAAUAUGCUUUGUUGAAGGGAAUAAGUGACUGGAUUUCUCAUUUCAUAGUUCAUAUAUACUUCAUAGGCAACAAUAUUUUUCAAUCAAUGUAGGAAGUGUACAAGAAUAUACUGAACAUUUUUCACUUAUGAGCAACUGUAUUUAAAAAAGCUUUCACACAUGGAAUGCA
Molecule: long non-coding RNA, 2348 nt
Filed under: Nicotiana tabacum (common tobacco)
Lineage: Eukaryota; Viridiplantae; Streptophyta; Magnoliopsida; Solanales; Solanaceae
Description: long non-coding RNA (NTAB_LNC003465)
Source: RNAcentral